Molecule: RNA transcript, 1141 nt
Organism: Lycium ferocissimum
Lineage: Eukaryota; Viridiplantae; Streptophyta; Magnoliopsida; Solanales; Solanaceae
Gene name: succinate dehydrogenase subunit 5, mitochondrial-like
Exons: 5
Source: RefSeq, a predicted model, not a curated record
UAAUAUACUAGUUCGUUUUGUUAGGUCAUUGGAACUCGGAAAUUUUCAAUCUGGUUAUCAAAAAAUUGUAGCAGUGAAACAAAGAAAGGAAAGCAAAGAAGAAAGUUUGGUAAAAAUGCAGAAAGUGGUAGUGCUAAAAUCAGUGUAUCGUUCUGUAUGUCGCAGAUCCUCUUCAGCUUUCAAGUUUCCUGCUGCCUCAAACUCACAUCGCCAACUUCAUUUCUCAGCUAACAUUUUUUCAGCUACUCCUACAACCCCUUUUCGUGAAUUGCAACAUCCUUUGACAACGGCAAUAGGAAGCACACGUUCUUUUUGUGUGGAUUUGACCCACAUGCCUGACAUAAAAGAUCCAGAGGUCAAACGAGCUUUUAAGGACUUAAUGGCUGCAAGCUGGGAUGAGCUUCCAAAUGCAGUUGUUGGUGAUGCAGAGCAUGCAUUGACUAAAACUACUGAUGACAAGGCUGGUCAGGAAGCUUUGAUUAAUGUUUUCCGUGCAGCAGAGGCAGUAGAGGACUUCACAGGGAUUCUCACAUCUCUGAAAAUGGAGAUUGAUGAUGCGAUCGGUUUAAGUGGUGAGAAUGUGAAGCCUAUGUCAAAAGAAUUCUCUGAUGCAUUCCAAACAAUCUUUCAACGUUACACCACCUACUUGAAUGCUUUUGGGUCAGAAGAGGGAUACUUGAAGAAGAAAGUUGAGAUGGAACUCGGGACAAAGAUGAUACACCUGAAGAUGAGAUGCAGUGGCCUUGAUUCUGAAUGGGGAAAGGUUACAGUUCUCGGAACUUCGGGACUAGCUGGUUCCUAUGUUGAGCAAAGAGCAUAAGCCUUCAGUGAUGACAGAGUCUCAGAAGUGUUUUCGCCUUUAUGUCACUUGUGUAAGAUUUUCCUGGAAGAGAAAAGGUAGUCUUAGAUAAAACAGGUUGCUAGCAAUGUGAUCCGUUAAGUUGCACUGUUCUUUCGCAAGUUUGAUAAUGUCAUAACAGCAAUAGUCAGUUGAUACUGAUCCUAAUAAUUUCUUCAAGAAGAUAGUUUCCUGAGUAUUUAGAAAGAUAGGGUUGACUGAUGAAUCAGGUUCACUGUUUUAAUUUUUUAUUGAUUGGUUAUUGCACAGGGCACUCUGUGGGAGCCAGUUCACUUUUAUCUC